RNAcentral lists this long non-coding RNA (1637 nucleotides) under Citrus x clementina. Its description in RNAcentral is "Citrus clementina (C. clementina) long non-coding RNA (CCLE_LNC003447)". The record is from RNAcentral. Lineage: Eukaryota; Viridiplantae; Streptophyta; Magnoliopsida; Sapindales; Rutaceae.
UUUUAAAUUAAUUAAUUAAAAAUUUAUAAAACACAAAAUCCAAGCUUUUUAAACCUAGGACUGCACUAGGGUUUUGUUAAGCCUAGGCGUGGCUUGAGAUUUUACCAUCUAUAUACUCUAACACCCCAUCAAAAUUUAUUUUCAGUUGAUAUGAGAUUAUCUUUAUGAUCACCACCAUCACAUGUGGGUUGAUUAGCUAAUGUGAGAUUUUCUCUAUAUCACUCUGGUCACAUGUGUUCAUAUCAAAUAAAAAGGUUGUGUGGAUCUAAGUUAAAUUUGAAAUAUUGUAAAACUCUACUACCUAACUUAUAGUAAAAAAUUACCUCAGACAAUAAAAUAUUGUCUCACAAACUUCUGUACUUCCUCCAAGAAUUAUUUUGAGCUGCGGAUGUGGGAUAUCUCCAACACCUAUCAAUAUAUUGUUGUGAUGGCAGUGCAGUGACUCACGUACCAACAGUUUCAAUCAAGUCCCUUCUGAUUGAAACUGACCAGUGCAUGAUUCAUCAAUUUUGGCUGGGAUAAAGAUUUAGCAACAGUCAUUCAUACACGUAAUCGUUUAGGGUUAUGAAUUACACAUUCAAGCUGUAUGUUCUGGCCACAUCAAAUGUCUGUUUCUACACACUAUUAGAGAUAAGUCUAGUGUCCAUUCGAUCAUUGGAAUAAAUUUGUUAUUUUCAUAGCAUAUACAGUUUCAAUAUAUAUUAAAAUCAAUAUAUAUAUAUAUAUAUAUACACACACACCAAUUAAUGAAGAGUAAUACUAAGCAUUUUAAUAUCUUAGUACCAAUUCGAAUCUCAAUUAAUGUGAUAUUCAUCUAUUGAAUAAUAGUUAAAUAAUUUUAUAAAUUAUGAAAUAUAUAAUCUAAUAGAUGAAUGAGUGACACAUGAAUUCACAUUUAAACUCAAAUAUUAAGAUCUCUAGUAUUAUUUAUUAAUGAAACUGUGAAGUGGCAUAUCUCUUUCAAUGUAUAUGAAAAAUAUCAAAGAUAUUUAAAUGUGAGAAGAUUAUUGAUUAGUCAAAAGGUAGCUUCCUUUCGAAUAUAGGAAAGUUCAGAUCACACACCAUGUGAAAAACAUCAGCACGUUGGGAGGCUGCGGGGAACACUACUACAGUAGGCCGAGGAAUCCCUUUAUCUUUUUGCAGUACCACAGCAAGACGGACAAUAUUAAUUGGUGUUCAUUUUCCAAGUUUCGUUUCCUUUUUCUCAACUGAUUAGUAUACUUUUUUUUGGAUUUAUUUUGCAAGAUUGACAAUUCAAUUUAAUGUCCAUCGAGAGUGGUUCGGGGAUUAACCAAGUAGUUUCAUCAAUUUAUUUUUAGAUGACGUUCCAUUUAUAAAUCCUGAAAAGGCAGAAAAAAAAUAGUUUAAAACCUUACUAAUACUCCUCUCUUUUUUAAAAGAUAAAAAGAGAGCCUUUCAAAAAUAUAAAUAUAUAUAACUAUGGAAUAAUAUGAAGAUCUACCAAGCAUUACUCAAAAAUUUGUACUCAUCGCAUACAAGAUUUACCUUACAAUAAAUAUUUACAAAUGAUAAUUAGUGUUUUUUUUCUUUUUCUAGCAAAAUAUAACAAUGAUAGAAAUCCCCUGUAUUAAAUAUUUUAGCAAUUAUUUUUACAAUAAAUUUUUGGGUUUUUGUAA